UACGGAGGGAGCUAGCGUUGUUCGGAAAUACUGGGCGUAAAGCGCGUGUAGGCUGCUCGGAAAGUCGGGUGUGAAAGCCCUGGGCUCAACCAAGGACGUGCAUUCGAAACUGCGGAGCUUGAGUAUGGAAGAGGGUCGCGGAAUUCCCGGUGUAGAGGUGAAAUUCGUAGAUAUCGGGAGGAACACCAGUGGCGAAGGCGGCGACCUGGGCCAAUACUGACGCUGAGGUGCGAAAGCGUGGGGAGCAAACAGG
This 253-nucleotide ribosomal RNA is filed under the name uncultured bacterium. Its description in RNAcentral is "partial 16S ribosomal RNA". It matches the Rfam family "Bacterial small subunit ribosomal RNA", at positions 524 to 776 of the family's 1533-position model. The record is from RNAcentral.